RNAcentral lists this ribosomal RNA (849 nucleotides) under uncultured bacterium. RNAcentral's name for it is "bacterial SSU rRNA". It matches the Rfam family "Bacterial small subunit ribosomal RNA", at positions 58 to 873 of the family's 1533-position model. The record is from RNAcentral.
CAAGUCGAACGAAACUUCUUUAUCACCGAGUGCUUGCACUCACCGAUAAAGAGUUGAGUGGCGAACGGGUGAGUAACACGUGGGCAACCUGCCCAAAAGAGGGGGAUAACACUUGGAAACAGGUGCUAAUACCGCAUAACCAUAGUUACCGCAUGGUAACUAUGUAAAAGGUGGCUAUACUACCGCUUUUGGAUGGGCCCGCGGCGCAUUAGCUAGUUGGUAGGGUAAAGGCUUACCAAGGCAAUGAUGCGUAGCCGAAUUGAGAGGUUGAUCGGCCACAUUGGGAUUGAGACACGGCCCAAACUCCUACGGGAGGCAGCAGUAGGGAAUCUUCCACAAUGGGCGAAAGCCUGAUGGAGCAACGCCGCGUGGGUGAAGAAGGUCUUCGGAUCGUAAAACCCUGUUGUUAGAGAAGAAAGUGCGUGAGAGUAACUGUUCACGUUUCGACGGUAUCUAACCAGAAAGCCACGGCUAACUACGUGCCAGCAGCCGCGGUAAUACGUAGGUGGCAAGCGUUAUCCGGAUUUAUUGGGCGUAAAGGGAACGCAGGCGGUCUUUUAAGUCUGAUGUGAAAGCCUUCGGCUUAACCGGAGUAGUGCAUUGGAAACUGGGAGACUUGAGUGCAGAAGAGGAGAGUGGAACUCCAUGUGUAGCGGUGAAAUGCGUAGAUAUAUGGAAGAACACCAGUGGCGAAAGCGGCUCUCUGGUCUGUAACUGACGCUGAGGUUCGAAAGCGUGGGUAGCAAACAGGAUUAGAUACCCUGGUAGUCCACGCCGUANACGAUGAAUGCUAAGUGUUGGAGGGNUUCCGCCCUUCAGUGCUGCAGCUAACGCAAUAAGCAUUCCGCC